UAGCAUAUCAAUAAGCGGAGGAAAAGAAACUAACAAGGAUUCCCCUAGUAACUGCGAGUGAAGCGGGAAAAGCUCAAAUUUAAAAUCUGGCAGUCUUUGGCUGUCCGAGUUGUAAUCUAGAGAAGUGUUAUCCGCGCUGGACCGUGUACAAGUCUCCUGGAAUGGAGCGUCAUAGAGGGUGAGAAUCCCGUCUUUGACACGGACUACCAGGGCUUUGUGAUGCGCUCUCAAAGAGUCGAGUUGUUUGGGAAUGCAGCUCAAAAUGGGUGGUAAAUUCCAUCUAAAGCUAAAUAUUGGCGAGAGACCGAUAGCGAACAAGUACCGUGAGGGAAAGAUGAAAAGAACUUUGGAAAGAGAGUUAAACAGUACGUGAAAUUGCUGAAAGGGAAACGCUUGAAGUCAGUCGCGUCGUCCAGGGAUCAACCUUGCUUUUGCUUGGUGCACUUUCUGGUUGACGGGUCAGCAUCAAUUUUGACCAUUGGAAAAAUAUCAAGGGAAUGUGACAUCUUUGGAUGUGUUAUAGCCCUUGGUUGUAUACGAUGGUUGGGAUUGAGGAACUCAGCACGCCGCAAGGCCGGGUUUUUAACCACGUACGUGCUUAGGAUGCUGGCAUAAUGGCUUUAAUCGACCCGUCUUGAAACACGGACCAAGGAGUCUAACAUGCCUGCGAGUGUUUGGGUGGAAAACUCGAGCGCGUAAUGAAAGUGAAAGUUGAGAUCCCUGUCGUGGGGAGCAUCGACGCCCGGACCAGACCUUUUGUGACGGUUCCGCGGUAGAGCAUGUAUGUUGGGACCCGAAAGAUGGUGAACUAUGCCUGAAUAGGGUGAAGCCAGAGGAAACUCUGGUGGAGGCUCGUAGCGAUUCUGACGUGCAAAUCGAUCGUCAAAUUUGGGUAUAGGGGCGAAAGACUAAUCGAACC
This 919-nucleotide ribosomal RNA is filed under the name uncultured Cortinarius. RNAcentral's name for it is "eukaryotic LSU rRNA". It matches the Rfam family "Eukaryotic large subunit ribosomal RNA", at positions 36 to 941 of the family's 3401-position model. The record is from RNAcentral. Lineage: Eukaryota; Fungi; Basidiomycota; Agaricomycetes; Agaricales; Cortinariaceae.